RNAcentral lists this ribosomal RNA (498 nucleotides) under uncultured Lachnospiraceae bacterium. RNAcentral's name for it is "bacterial SSU rRNA". It matches the Rfam family "Bacterial small subunit ribosomal RNA", at positions 10 to 507 of the family's 1533-position model. Lineage: Bacteria; Bacillati; Bacillota; Clostridia; Lachnospirales; Lachnospiraceae. The record is from RNAcentral.
AGUUUGAUCCUGGCUCAGGAUGAACGCUGGCGGCGUGCUUAACACAUGCAAGUCGAGCGAAGCGUAUUAGCGGAAGUUUUCGGAUGGAAGCGGAUAUGACUUAGCGGCGGACGGGUGAGUAACGCGUGGAUAACCUGCCUCAUACAGGGGGAUAACAGUUAGAAAUGACUGCUAAUACCGCAUAAGCGCACAGGACCGCAUGGUCCGGUGUGAAAAACUCCGGUGGUAUGGGAUGGAUCCGCGUCUGAUUAGCUGGUUGGUGAGGUAACGGCCCACCAAGGCGACGAUCAGUAGCCGACCUGAGAGGGUGGCCGGCCACAUUGGGACUGAGACACGGCCCAAACUCCUAUGGGAGGCAGCAGUGGGGAAUAUUGCACAAUGGGGGAAACCCUGAUGCAGCAACGCCGCGUGAGUGAAGAAGUAUUUCGGUAUGUAAAGCUCUAUCAGCAGGGAAGAAGAAAGACGGUACCUGACUAAGAAGCCCCGGCUAACUACGUG